ACGGGUGAGUAACACGUGAGUAACCUGCCCUUGACUCUGGGAUAAGCGCUGGAAACGGCGUCUAAUACCGGAUAUGACAACCGACGGCAUCGUCUGGUUGUGGAAAGAAUUUUGGUCAAGGAUGGACUCGCGGCCUAUCAGCUUGUUGGUGAGGUAAUGGCUCACCAAGGCGACGACGGGUAGCCGGCCUGAGAGGGUGACCGGCCACACUGGGACUGAGACACGGCCCAGACUCCUACGGGAGGCAGCAGUGGGGAAUAUUGCACAAUGGGCGAAAGCCUGAUGCAGCAACGCCGCGUGAGGGACGACGGCCUUCGGGUUGUAAACCUCUUUUAGCAGGGAAGAAGCGAAAGUGACGGUACCUGCAGAAAAAGCACCGGCUAACUACGUGCCAGCAGCCGCGGUAAUACGUAGGGUGCAAGCGUUGUCCGGAAUUAUUGGGCGUAAAGAGCUCGUAGGCGGUUUGUCGCGUCUGCUGUGAAAUCCCGAGGCUCAACCUCGGGUCUGCAGUGGGUACGGGCAGACUAGAGUGCGGUAGGGGGAGAUUGGAAUUCCUGGUGUAGCGGUGGAAUGCGCAGA
This 579-nucleotide ribosomal RNA is filed under the name Microbacteriaceae bacterium HRTP185. Its description in RNAcentral is "bacterial SSU rRNA". It matches the Rfam family "Bacterial small subunit ribosomal RNA", at positions 102 to 694 of the family's 1533-position model. Lineage: Bacteria; Bacillati; Actinomycetota; Actinomycetes; Micrococcales; Microbacteriaceae. The record is from RNAcentral.